Molecule: ribosomal RNA, 253 nt
Filed under: uncultured bacterium
Lineage: Bacteria
Description: partial 16S ribosomal RNA
Rfam family: Bacterial small subunit ribosomal RNA
Source: RNAcentral
UACGUAGGGUGCGAGCGUUAAUCGGAAUUACUGGGCGUAAAGCGUGCGCAGGCGGUUCGUUGUGUCGGCGGUGAAAGCCCCGGGCUUAACCUGGGAAUGGCCGUUGAAACUGGCGAACUGGAGUGUGGCAGAGGGGGGUGGAAUUCCGCGUGUAGCAGUGAAAUGCGUAGAGGUGCGGAGGAACACCGGUGGCGAAAGCGGCGACCUGGACAGGUACUGACACUCAACUACGAAAGCGUGGGGAGCAAACAGG